This 243-nucleotide long non-coding RNA is filed under the name Dromaius novaehollandiae (emu). Its description in RNAcentral is "lncRNA (ENSDNVG00000000309.1)". Lineage: Eukaryota; Metazoa; Chordata; Aves; Casuariiformes; Dromaiidae. The record is from RNAcentral.
UUAUAUCCUGAAGAGGGAUAUAUAGGCUAGUCCUGAGGAAAUGAUGGCACUGAUGCAAUGGCAGGAAUAACGAGGAUUGUUCUGUACAACUGAACACUGCAAACAAAAGGUCCCUGAGAAGUUUUUCAGAAGUCAUCCAAAAUUUAAGAGGCAUUAGAGCUGACACAAACAUCAGGUUUGCGAAGACAGCUGAAAACCCUUUGCACAAAGGUAGGAGUUCAAUGAAGCUCAACAACAGGGCUG